This is a non-coding RNA of Gossypium arboreum, 124 nucleotides long. NCBI's taxonomy places the organism in Eukaryota, Viridiplantae, Streptophyta, Magnoliopsida, Malvales, Malvaceae. The record is from Rfam.
AAUAGUUUAAUGCCACAUCAACAUUUUCAUCUUGAAUUUCAAGAUUUUCAUCGUGAAAAAAAAUCAAAUCUAAAUGAAAAUCUUGAAACUCAGGAUAAAAUUAUUGAUGUGGUAUUAAAUUAGU